Molecule: ribosomal RNA, 251 nt
Filed under: uncultured bacterium
Lineage: Bacteria
Description: partial 16S ribosomal RNA
Rfam family: Bacterial small subunit ribosomal RNA
Source: RNAcentral
UACGAAGGGGGCUAGCGUUGUUCGGAAUUACUGGGCGUAAAGCGCGCGCAGGCGGCUCUUCAAGUCAGGUGUGAAAGCCUUGAGCUCAACUCAAGAAAUGCACUUGAUACUGGAUGACUAGAGGACCGGAGAGGAUAGUGGAAUUCCCAGUGUAGUGGUGAAAUACGUAGAGAUUGGGGAAGAACACCAGUGGCGAAGGCGGCUAUCUGGACGGUUCUGACGCUAAGACGCGAAAGCGUGGGAGCAACAGG